Molecule: ribosomal RNA, 460 nt
Filed under: uncultured bacterium
Lineage: Bacteria
Description: partial 16S ribosomal RNA
Rfam family: Bacterial small subunit ribosomal RNA
Source: RNAcentral
CCUACGGGAGGCAGCAGUGAGGAAUAUUGGUCAAUGGGCGCGAGCCUGAACCAGCCACGUAGCGUGAAGGAUGACUGCCCUACGGGUUGUAAACUUCUUUUAUCAAGGAAUACAGUGAGGCACGUGUGCCUUUUUGUAUUUACUUUAUGAAUAAGGAUCGGCUAACUCCGUUCCAGCAGCCGCGGUAAUAAGGAGGAUCCGAGCGUUAUCCGGAUUGAUUGGGUUUAAAGGGAGCGUAGAGGGGUUGUUAAGUCAGUUGUGAAAGUUUGCGGCUCAACCGUAAAAUUGAAAGUGAUACUGGCAGUCUUGAGUACAGUUGAGGUAGGCGGAAUUCGUGGUGUAGCGGUGAAAUGCUUAGAUAUCACGAAGAACGCCGAGUGCGAAGGCAGCUUACUAAACUGCCACUGACAUUGAGGCUCGAAAGUGUGGGUAUCAAACAGGAUUAGAUACCCGUGUAGUC